This 495-nucleotide ribosomal RNA is filed under the name uncultured bacterium. RNAcentral describes it as "partial 16S ribosomal RNA". It matches the Rfam family "Bacterial small subunit ribosomal RNA", at positions 28 to 523 of the family's 1533-position model. The record is from RNAcentral.
GAUGAACGCUAGCGGGAGGCCUAACACAUGCAAGCCGAGCGGUAUUGUUUCUACGGAAAUGAGAGAGCGGCGUACGGGUGCGUAACACGUGUGCAACCUGCCUUUAUCUGGGGGAUAGCCUUUCGAAAGGAAGAUUAAUACUCCAUAAUAUAUUGAACGGCAUCGUUUAAUAUUGAAAGCUCCGGCGGAUAGAGAUGGGCACGCGCAACAUUAGCUAGUUGGUGGGGUAACGGCUCACCAAGGCGAUGAUCUUUAGGGGGCCUGAGAGGGUGAUCCCCCACACUGGUACUGAGACACGGACCAGACUCCUACGGGAGGCAGCAGUGAGGAAUAUUGGUCAAUGGGUGCAAGCCUGAACCAGCCAUCCCGCGUGAAGGACGACUGCUCUAUGGGUUGUAAACUUCUUUUAUAUAGGGAUAAACCUACCCUCGUGAGGGUAGCUGAAGGUACUAUACGAAUAAGCACCGGCUAACUCCGUGCCAGCCGCCGCCGUAA